Molecule: non-coding RNA, 90 nt
Filed under: unclassified sequences
Description: DUF3800-VII RNA
Rfam family: DUF3800-VII RNA
Source: Rfam by way of RNAcentral
AGCAAGCAUUCGCUGGAACAAUCUUACGUUGUCCGAAAGGACGGCAGCCCCAAUUAGGGUGGGAUCGUAAGACCAGGGGCUUGCUAAGGU